RNAcentral lists this ribosomal RNA (437 nucleotides) under uncultured bacterium. RNAcentral describes it as "partial 16S ribosomal RNA". It matches the Rfam family "Bacterial small subunit ribosomal RNA", at positions 30 to 507 of the family's 1533-position model. The record is from RNAcentral.
AGCGAACGCUGGCGGCAUGCUUAACACAUGCAAGUCGCGCGGGUGGUUUCGGCCAUCAGCGGCGGACGGGUGGGUAUCGCGUAGGAAUGUAUCCCGAGGUGGGGGACAACCCUGGGAAACUGGGGCUAAUACCGCAUGUGGCCUGUGGGUCAAAGCCUUAGGGCGCCUUGGGAGCAGCCUGCGUCCGAUUUGGUAGUUGGGGGGGUAAAGGCCUACCAAGCCUGCGAUAGGUAGCUGGUCUGAGAGAAAGAUCAGACACACUGGGACUGGGACGCGGCCCGGAAUCCUACGCGAGGGAGGAGAGGGGGAUACUGCACAAUCGGCGCAAGCAUGAUCCAGCAAUGCCGCGUGGGUGAAGAAGGUCUUCGGAUUGUAAAGCCCUUUCGGCGGGGACGAUGAUGACGGUACCCGCAGAAGAAGCCCCGGCUAACUUCGUG